This 501-nucleotide ribosomal RNA is filed under the name uncultured bacterium. RNAcentral describes it as "partial 16S ribosomal RNA". It matches the Rfam family "Bacterial small subunit ribosomal RNA", at positions 30 to 523 of the family's 1533-position model. The record is from RNAcentral.
AUUGAACGCUGGCGGCAGGCUUAACACAUGCAAGUCGAGCGGAGCGAGGGUGCUUGCACCUUAGCUUAGCGGCGGACGGGUGAGUAAUGCUUAGGAAUCUGCCUAUUAGUGGGGGACAACAUUCCGAAAGGGAUGCUAAUACCGCAUACGCCCUACGGGGGAAAGCAGGGGAUCUUCGGACCUUGCGCUAAUAGAUGAGCCUAAGUCGGAUUAGCUAGUUGGUGGGGUAAAGGCCUACCAAGGCGACGAUCUGUAGCGGGUCUGAGAGGAUGAUCCGCCACACUGGGACUGAGACACGGCCCAGACUCCUACGGGGGGCAGCAGUGGGGAAUAUUGGACAAUGGGCGGAAGCCUGAUCCAGCCAUGCCGCGUGGGUGAAGAAGGCCUUUUGGUUGUAAAGCACUUUAAGCGAGGAGGAGGCUACUAGUAUUAAUACUACUGGAUAGUGGACGUUACUCGCAGAAUAAGCACCGGCUAACUCUGUGCCAGCAGCCGCCGUAA